CCUACGGGUGACUGCAGUGAGGAAUAUUGGUCAAUGGACGGAAGUCUGAACCAGCCAAGCCGCGUGAAGGAAGAAGGCUCUAUGAGUUGUAAACUGCUUUUGUACAGGGGUAAAUGUAUAUACGUGUGUAUAUUUGAAUGUACCCUCAGACUACGCAUCGGCUAACUCCGUGCCAGCAGCCGCGGUAAUACGGAGGGUCCAAGCGUUAUCCGGAUUUAUUGGGUUUAAAGGGUGCGUAGGUGGGUUGUUAAGUUAGGGGUGAAAGGUCUGGGCUUAACCCGAGGAUUGCCUUUGAAACUGGCUGUCUUGAGAGUGUGUGAGGUAGGCGGAAUGCGUGGUGUAGCGGUGAAAUGCUUAGAUAUCACGCAGAACUCCGAUUGCGAAGGCAGCUUAC
RNAcentral lists this ribosomal RNA (394 nucleotides) under uncultured bacterium. Its description in RNAcentral is "partial 16S ribosomal RNA". It matches the Rfam family "Bacterial small subunit ribosomal RNA", at positions 338 to 729 of the family's 1533-position model. The record is from RNAcentral.